AGAACGAACGCUGGCGGCAUGCCUAAUACAUGCAAGUCGAACGAACACUUCGGUGUUAGUGGCGCACGGGUGCGUAACGCGUGGGAAUCUGCCCUUGGGUUCGGAAUAACAGUUGGAAACGACUGCUAAUACCGGAUGAUAUCGAAAGAUCAAAGAUUUAUCGCCCAGGGAUGAGCCCGCGUAGGAUUAGCUAGUUGGUGAGGUAAAGGCUCACCAAGGCGACGAUCCUUAGCUGGUCUGAGAGGAUGAUCAGCCACACUGGGACUGAGACACGGCCCAGACUCCUACGGGAGCAGCAGUAGGGAAUAUUGGACAAGUGGGCGCAAGCCUGAUCCAGCAAUCGCCGCGUGAGUGAUGAAGGCCGUUAGGGUGUAAAGCUUCUUUACCGA
This 389-nucleotide ribosomal RNA is filed under the name uncultured soil bacterium. Its description in RNAcentral is "bacterial SSU rRNA". It matches the Rfam family "Bacterial small subunit ribosomal RNA", at positions 26 to 442 of the family's 1533-position model. The record is from RNAcentral.